RNAcentral lists this ribosomal RNA (459 nucleotides) under uncultured bacterium. RNAcentral's name for it is "partial 16S ribosomal RNA". It matches the Rfam family "Bacterial small subunit ribosomal RNA", at positions 338 to 795 of the family's 1533-position model. The record is from RNAcentral.
CCUACGGGAGGCAGCAGUGAGGAAUAUUGGUCAAUGGCCGGAAUCCUGAACCAGCCAAGCCGCGUGAAGGACGAAGGUGCCAAGCAUUGUAAACUUCUUUUGUCAAGGGACAAAAUCAGGCUCGAGAGCCUGACCGAGUGUACUUGAAGAAAAAGCAUCGGCUAACUCCGUGCCAGCAGCCGCGGUAAUACGGAGGAUGCGAGCGUUAUCCGGAUUUAUUUGGUUUAAAGGGUGCGUAGGCGGACUGUUAAGUCAGCGGUAAAAGCCCGGGGCUCAACCCCGGCGAGCCGUUGAAACUGGCUGCCUUGAGAUGUCGAGAGGUAUGCGGAAUGCGCAGUGUAGCGGUGAAAUGCUUAGAUAUCGCGCAGAACUCCGAUUGCGAAGGCAGCAUACCGGCGGCGAUCUGACGCUGAGGCACGAAAGCGUGGGUAUCGAACAGGAUUAGAUACCCUUGUAGUC